AUUGAACGCUGGCGGCAGGCCUAACACAUGCAAGUCGGACGAGCGGCGGACGGGUGAGUAAUGUAUGGGAAACUGCCUGAUGGAGGGGGAUAACUACUGGAAACGGUAGCUAAUACCGCAUACCAUCGGAUGUACCCAGAUGGGAUUAGCUUGUAGGUGGGGUAACGGCUCACCUAGGCGACGAUCCCUAGCUGGUCUGAGAGGAUGAUCAGCCACACUGGAACGGAGACACGGCCCAGACUCCGACGGGAGGCAGCAGUGGGGAAUAUUGCACAAUGGGCGCAAGCCUGAUGCAGCCAUGCCGCGUGUAUGAAGAAGGCCUUCGGGUUGUAAAGUACUUUCAGCGGGGAGGCGUUACCCACAGAAGAAGCACCGGCUAACUCCGUGCCAGCAGCCGCGGUAAUUC
This 406-nucleotide ribosomal RNA is filed under the name uncultured bacterium. Its description in RNAcentral is "partial 16S ribosomal RNA". It matches the Rfam family "Bacterial small subunit ribosomal RNA", at positions 30 to 526 of the family's 1533-position model. The record is from RNAcentral.